GCCGUUGUAGUUCAGUGGUAGAAUACCGUCUUGGUAAGACGGUGGUCAUGGGUCCGAUUCCCAUCAGCGGCU
This 72-nucleotide transfer RNA is filed under the name Parcubacteria bacterium C7867-003. Its description in RNAcentral is "tRNA-Thr". It matches the Rfam family "tRNA". Rfam says of the family: Transfer RNA (tRNA) molecules are approximately 80 nucleotides in length. The record is from RNAcentral. Lineage: Bacteria; Candidatus Parcubacteria.